UUAAGCGUGCUUGGGCGAGA
RNAcentral lists this non-coding RNA (20 nucleotides) under Arabidopsis thaliana (thale cress). Lineage: Eukaryota; Viridiplantae; Streptophyta; Magnoliopsida; Brassicales; Brassicaceae. The record is from RNAcentral.